CGCAACCUGGAGAGGAAGCUUUAAGGGGUUUGGAAGCUCCCUUCUCACCAUCUCAGGAGAGCCAGACUGCCACGCCUCGAGGUGAGGUUGGGGGGUCUCGAAACUUCAUGUGUCUUCUCUUCUCCUGGCUGAGCCUCAAAAUCCCUUUUUGAAAUGCAACUGCAGAAGGAAAUGCUCAAGCUGUUUUGAGCCCUUUACUGUUUGGUGCAGAUGGGGUGACUAGAAGGACUGGGAGCAGGUUGUGAGGGGGCCUGGUGAGGACUGAGGGUGAGCUGCAGGCGUCCAGGAGCCCCCAGGGUCAAGGAAGGAAGAGAGUGGAGCCUGAGGAGACAGACCAUCUCUGCGACUUAGCUGGGGGAAGACCCCACAUUCAUAGAAAAAAAAACCCAAAUGCAUUUUAAUGUAUGCUGAAGUCAAGAGGACAGCAAACUCACUUAGAGAAGGACCCAGUGGAGGAGAUUGGAAGUGGAUAGUUCCAGUUAACAAGAACCUCUCUUUUUAAGUGAAACAAAGAACUUGAUGACUAUUUCCCUGAGGCUGAAGCACGGUCACCCACGUGGAAAGCUGUUAAGGGUGGAUGUAAGUAUAGUAUCUAGCUAGCUGGGGAUUGGCGUCAGAAGAUGAAAACUGUCUGUUUGUGGCAUGUGGCUGGAAAUGGCAUCUCCAAGUGACUCCUAAAACAGAAGUCCAGGUUCCAUGGACCAGAGGCCCUGGUGGGAUCGGGCCUGUCUGGGUCAGCUGAGACCGCCUCUCCUCCACAAUGGUGAUAUCUUAGAGCUCUCCUUGCCCUGACCUUAGGUCAGACAGCAGGUAAUUUGGAAGUAACUAUAACCCUAAGCUCUGCUAUGUUAAGCUUGGAGGAGGACCAAGAAUAGUCAUGAGGAAUCAGUGAGGUGUGAGGAGCCAGAGCCUGGGAACCAGCCAGUCAAUAAGCUGGAUGGGGAAGUGUGGGGAUACGGAAUUCUGGGAGGCUUGCUUCUGUCACUCGACUUCAAAAUGAGGGAAAAUGGCGCGCAGAUGUUUAUAGCAGCUUUAUUCAUAACCACCAAAACUUGGAAGCAACCAAGAUGUCCUUCAGCAGCUCAUAGGUUGUAAGAAAUGUACCAACACCAAUGCAAGAUGUUAAUAAGAGCGGAAACUGUGGAGGAAGGAGUGCUUUUCAAACUUUAAUGUGAAGUGAAUCACCUAACGGUCUCAUGAAAAUGCUGAUUCUGAGGAGCGUCCUGAGAUUCUGCGUUUCUAACAAGCUCCCAGGUGAUGGCGCUGUUGCUGGUCCACGGACAAUGAGUCGCAAGACACUAUUUCACCAUCACGGCGAGAACUGGAGAGAGCUUUGUGAAGAGGGAUCCACGCUAACCUGAAUUAAAGAAGCAAAAGUCUCAUUAAUAAAGAUUUUGAUCCCUAAGAUAAGAAAAAAAGACAUUUAUAUCUAGAAUCUCAUAUCUUUCCUUUUUGGUAAGUGAGUGUAGGAGGUACUUGGAAAUAGUCAAUUAACUCAUAAUUUAGAUAUGCUAAAGUUGUUUGCCCAGUGUAAAUUUCAUUUUUUUCUAUACAUUUGAAUCAGAUUCUAUUACAAAAUUUAAUUUUUUUUUUUUUUUUUGCUUUUAACAGUGGAGUUACUUUAGUGUGAAGAAAGAAAUUAGCCAUUGUAUGAUAAGUGAGGUUAUUUGGAAGAGAAUAUGACUAGCUGUCUACCUUGCUUCUUUCCUAUCUGCUGAAGAGGCAAAAAAAAAAAAAAAAAAAAAAAAAAAGAGGUACACACAGUUCCAUGGGCAGCCAAUAAAUAAGAUUGUGUUUGGGAAGAGGUACAACAGAAUCCCCCACUGCACACAGUUGCUCCUACUCUAGGUGUCUGCUGUCACAAACACAGAGGCUGACGACUCGAUUUACUGUGGUAACUUGUAUUUAUAAAUCCACGGAAACUCAGAAGACAACAGCCAGCAUUUACUAAGUCUGAGCUAGGCGCCAGUUGGGGGUCCCGAUCCAAAUGGAGCAAACAAUCUGGUCAGGAAGAUAACAUAAGGAAAAUUAAGCAUUAAAUUAAAACGUAAACUGUAAUUUUACAUAAUUUCACAAACUGCCAGGAGUUUACGGGAAUUAAACGGCGUUUUUAUGGGAAGAAGACAUUAACUUAGAUGGAGAAGGUCAAGGAAGGUUUUCUGAAAGGCAGGAUUUGAAUUGGAAUUUGAAGAAAGGUUAGGUGAGGAGAGAUGGGAACAAGAUGGAUGAGUGUAUCAGGACGGACAAAACAGUUGUGUGCAUACAAGAGAACAUAAGUGUUUGGGAGCUUAUGAGCAGAACCGUUUGCUGGAGUGAUUUAUUUAUUUAACGGAAACAUGGUAGAGGGAGAAAUGGUGGGAAAACAAAGUCGGGAUUAGAUUAAGAAAGGUCUGAAUGUUAGGCUAAGAAGAUUGGACUUGAUUCUGUAAAUAAUAAUAAUAAUAAUAGGGGACCAUUGGAUGUUUUGAGUAGAAGAGUGCAUUUUAACAGAAGUAUUUUAAUAGACUAAUUUCAAUAGUCCAAGUGCAAGGGAUAAGGGACAGAAUUAGGACUGUGGUGAAGGGAAUUGAAUAUGUGAGCUAGAGGGUUGAGCUAAAGGAAUCAGAAACUUUAAUGAUAUUAUAGUUAAUGGGUGGGCAGUAACCUUGAGGCUUGAGGUUAGUAGAAUAGAAAAUGAACAGUUUGGGGGGAAAUAAAUUAAAUUUGAGAUAUUUUAAGUUUUAAGUAAUAGUAGGACGGACACCUGGAAGAAUCCAGUAGACAACUGGAAGUGUGACAGUGUGACCCUGCCUAGAGGUAGUCAUGCCUGGAGCCUUGGGUGUGAAAGACUCUGCUAGGGAACCGCGCAGAGACAGAACCUUGGGCAGUGCCCCUUUGGGCAGCCUGGGUGGGGAAAGAGCAGUAAGAAGGAAGAGGAACCCAGAGUGUGACAGCCUUGAAGGGAAGAGGGAGCGUCAGGCCAGGGGCUGCGGCCACAGCAUUGAACGCUGCAGAGAAACCAGACCAUCUGAUCAAGGGAAGGUUCUUCAAGGCUCCUGGCACCUUUCCCAGCGUGGACAACAUGGAGGGAGGGGUGGAAACCAGGUGACUGACGAGACUGAGGGGUGAGCAAGUCACAACAAAGGUAGAAUUUGUGGACAUUUCCUUAGACAAAAGAAAAAAUAGGAUGGAAACUGAAGGAGAAAGGAAGAGCAAGUGCUUUUGUUGAUUUUCAAUUUAUUAUAGUGGCGACACAGCUUUCUUUGUUUUUUGAUUAAGGGGGAAAAAUGAGAGAAAAAUUGAUGGUAUCUAAAAACUGCAGACGGACGGGAAUUUGAGUUGUUAAAAUCCUGAAGGAGUCAGGCCCUCUGGGAAAGGGGUGAGCCUUGGAAAUGAGAAAGGAAAACCCCCCACACCAAAAACAACCCAGAACACCACUGCCUCCACAUAUCUGGAAGAAGAGGGAUGCAGAGAUGCAGUACUCAGGCUCCUGGGGGUCCCACCAGCUCAAUAAAGAAGCAGGUGAGACAGUUUUCAAGCUCUGGGCCUGGAGGUGAAGUGGAAGAAUGGAGAAUGUUGGGACAGGCCAUUGAAUCAGGAAAUUGGCAAAAGGUGAAUAAAGAGCAUUGCUAAACAACAGUUGAGAUGAGCAUGAAUACACCAAGUAAGCACAAACACACACCUAAGGACAGUGGUCGUGACUCAGGGAUGUGGAACCAGCGCAAGAGACUGAGGGACAUGAGGUGAGCGCCAGGAUGCAAGUGCUGAGGGCAACACCCAGGUGGCUGGCAUCAAGUCCACCUAGGGUUAAUACAACUCAAGUGGGAUGAUCCAGACACCAUAGCAUAUCAACAAGAGGAAGAUGAUUAAGAAUGGCGAACAAAAACAACUGAGAGACUAUUUCAACUCUGAGCAUCCCAAUUUAAAAGGCACUUGUUGGGGAUCAAGCAAAGGGCAAUAACGUACUGAGCACCAUGUGCUCAGCACUGGGCUUGGGCAUGUUGGGGAUACACAGAGGCAUGAGGCAGUGUUCCUGCCCUCAGGGAGCUUUUGUGUAGUUGGAGAGAGGACACAGGCAUCUCACAUCCUCUGAGCACAUCCACAUUGUGCAGUAGAGACAGGACUUUAAAGACGGUGAAGAAGAGCUGGUUGGAGCAGAGCCGUUGAGAAGUGGCCAGGGUGGCAGAACAGGAGUCGUCCUCUCUCCUACCUUCUUCACAUCUUCUCUUCUAUUCACAUCCAAGCCACAUAGCUGCACCUCCAAGAGAUUGGAAAUGGAGACAAGAAAAGGGUAACUGUGACUUUCUUAUCAUGUGAGAGAGCCCUGAAAGCUUCACUCCCCUCCCUGCUCAGAAAGAUUUGAAGGCAACACUCAUCUUCCUUCUGUGCCCCAUGUAGGGCAUUUCGCUCAUCAGGGCAAGCUGUGUUGAGAGGAAGAAAUGAGAUCUGUGAGAGGUGAGAAGUCUGGCAUCUUUUUUUAUAAAAAAAAUUUAUUUAUUUGUUUCCCCUCCCCUGUUAUAUUGAGAUACAAUUGACAUAUAACACUGUAUAAGUUUAAAGUGUACAACAUAAUGAUUUGACAUAAGUAUUUAUUGUAAAAUGAUUGCCAGAAGAUUAAACAUUCAUCACCCCACAUAGUUACAAUUUCUUUUGCCCCUUGUGAUGAGAACGUUUAAGAUCUACUCUCUUAGCAACUUUCAAAUAUACAAUACAAUAUUGUUAAAUACUGACAUCACGGAGUCCUUGAUGAGCAGGAAGCAGCCGGGAGCCACGCCGCAGCUCACAGCCACUGAAAGCACGGCUGCCCUUGGAGCAUUCCUAUGGGCUGUGGGGAGGUCUGCUCCUUGAGCGCUCCCUCACUGCUAUCCCCACUCCUGGGGUCUGCCCUGACUUCAGAGCAUGCUGUUCAGAUCAUUCAAGCCUGGGGAGGAACUCUGGACCUGCCACUUACCAGCUAUGUGACCUUGGGCAACUUGCUUAAGACAACUGAGUCUCAUUUCCCCCUCCAAUGGGGUAAUAAUUCUUGUAGGAAAAGUGUGUGGCACUAAGCAACUGC
Equus caballus (horse) is the source of this 5035-nucleotide long non-coding RNA. The record is from Ensembl. Lineage: Eukaryota; Metazoa; Chordata; Mammalia; Perissodactyla; Equidae.